Oncorhynchus masou masou (cherry salmon) is the source of this 422-nucleotide long non-coding RNA. RefSeq lists it as uncharacterized. The transcript has 3 exons. The record is from RefSeq and is a predicted model, not a curated record. Lineage: Eukaryota; Metazoa; Chordata; Actinopteri; Salmoniformes; Salmonidae.
GAGGGGAAAUGUAGAGAAGGACUAAUGUUUUCUGGUUUGUGUAAUGUGUACCACAACAGCAAUGGAGUUAUGUUAAAGGUUUUUGAGUUCCCUCAGGCGCUCAGCAGGAACAAUCACCACAGAUGUUACUCUUUCAACUGAUGGGUAGUGAAAUAGUAAAGGAUGCGUUGGAGAACUGUGGCGCUCUGGCUCCUGCGAUGACUGACACUACCACCGGGGGACUACGGCUACCCAGCCGGUCAGCAGCCACCACUGUCAACAGUGUACUCAAUGAAAUAGUACUCAAUCCCUGGACAGGAAGCACCUACCAUCAGACAGGAAGUAUUCCACCUCCCCGUUGUUGCCCUCGUCUCCGUCCUGGGCGUGGAGCUUGUAGACCAGUGACCCGGCCAGGGCGUUGGGAGAUACCACUGCCAGGUAGG